This 229-nucleotide ribosomal RNA is filed under the name uncultured bacterium. RNAcentral describes it as "partial 16S ribosomal RNA". It matches the Rfam family "Bacterial small subunit ribosomal RNA", at positions 568 to 796 of the family's 1533-position model. The record is from RNAcentral.
UACGUAGGCGGAAUAAUAAGUCAGUAGUGAAAUCCUGCGGCUCAACCGUAGAACUGCCAUUGAUACUGUUAUUCUUGAAUAUAGUUGAGGUAGGCGGAAUGUGUAAUGUAGCGGUGAAAUGCUUAGAUAUUACACAGAACACCGAUUGCGAAGGCAGCUUACUAAACUAUUAUUGACGCUGAUGUACGAAAGCGUGGGGAGCGAACAGGAUUAGAUACCCUGGUAGUCC